AUUUUCCUUUUAGUCAGCAUUAGGGUUUUAAACCCUAAACUGAACUUUUUCUUUCAGCCAGCAUUAGAGUUUUAAACUCUAAACUGAGCUUUUCCAUGCAAUCAGCAUUAGGGUUUUAAACCCUAAAACUGAAUUUUCCUUGUAGUCAGCAUUAGGGUUUAAACCCUAAACUGAACUUUUUCCUUUUUAGCCAGCAUUAGAGUUUUAAACUCUAAACUGAUCUUUUCCAUACAAUCAGCAUUAGGGUUUUAAACCCUAAACUGAAUUCUCCCUUUGUUCGGCGUUAGGGUUUUAAACCCCAAACCGAACCUCUCCCCAGCUAGCCGGUGUUAGGGCUCCAACCCUGAACUGAGCAUGCAUAUCCUCCUUCAUCAAUU
RNAcentral lists this long non-coding RNA (377 nucleotides) under Nicotiana tabacum (common tobacco). Its description in RNAcentral is "long non-coding RNA (NTAB_LNC017604)". The record is from RNAcentral. Lineage: Eukaryota; Viridiplantae; Streptophyta; Magnoliopsida; Solanales; Solanaceae.